GCCUUCUUGGUGUAAUGGUCAGCACACUCGGCGCGUAUUCGAGAGGUCCGAGGUUCGAGUCCUAGGGAGGCA
Molecule: transfer RNA, 72 nt
Filed under: Stegodyphus mimosarum
Lineage: Eukaryota; Metazoa; Arthropoda; Arachnida; Araneae; Eresidae
Rfam family: tRNA
About the family: Transfer RNA (tRNA) molecules are approximately 80 nucleotides in length. Their secondary structure includes four short double-helical elements and three loops (D, anti-codon, and T loops).
Source: Rfam by way of RNAcentral